CAGAGUAUAGCUAAAUAGCAAAGCAUUUCACUUACACCGAAAAGUUAUUCGUGCAAACCGAAUUACUCUGA
Molecule: transfer RNA, 71 nt
Filed under: Nothobranchius thierryi (Togo killifish)
Lineage: Eukaryota; Metazoa; Chordata; Actinopteri; Cyprinodontiformes; Nothobranchiidae
Description: tRNA-Val
Rfam family: tRNA
About the family: Transfer RNA (tRNA) molecules are approximately 80 nucleotides in length. Their secondary structure includes four short double-helical elements and three loops (D, anti-codon, and T loops).
Source: RNAcentral